UACAGAGGUCCCAAGCGUUGUUCGGAUUCAUUGGGCGUAAAGGGUGCGUAGGUGGCGCCGUAAGUCGGGUGUGAAAUUUCGGAGCUUAACUCCGAAACUGCAUUCGAUACUGCGGUGCUUGAGGACUGGAGAGGAGACUGGAAUUCAUGAUGUAGCAGUGAAAUGCGUAGAGAUCAUGAGGAAGACCAGUGGCGAAGGCGGGUCUCUGGACAGUUCCUGACACUGAGGCACGAAGGCCAGGGGAGCAAACGGG
Molecule: ribosomal RNA, 253 nt
Filed under: uncultured bacterium
Lineage: Bacteria
Description: partial 16S ribosomal RNA
Rfam family: Bacterial small subunit ribosomal RNA
Source: RNAcentral